RNAcentral lists this long non-coding RNA (681 nucleotides) under Eutrema salsugineum. Its description in RNAcentral is "long non-coding RNA (ESAL_LNC001617)". The record is from RNAcentral. Lineage: Eukaryota; Viridiplantae; Streptophyta; Magnoliopsida; Brassicales; Brassicaceae.
GGAGCUCCUGGAAGCUCGAGCGGUGGUGGCGACGAAUGAUGGGAGAGCUUUGGGAAGCUCGAAGCGAUGGUCGUGAUAUGAUCAGAAAGCAGAGAAAACGUCGAAGCUCGGAGUGAAAUUCUCGGUGAUUGGUUUUGCUAUGGAGAUUUCUCCUUGGAAAACGGAGAUGGCGUCAAGCUCACUUUUUUUAUAUAUAUCUCGUCGUUGAUGAUGUAAGCAGUUGGAGGGGAUGAUAAGUGAGACGAGCUUUUGCAGGUCGGCUUUGAGACGUUUUAAUAAAGACUCGUAUCUUUGGGCGGUGCUUUGGAUUAAAUGGAGAUCGGUUUCGGUCACCUUGGUUUGGUUCUUCAUUGACUACUGGUGAAGUCACAAAUCUCGACGAAUUCCGUAAUCAUUUACUUCGUGAUGUAACAUUUACCGUCAUAGAAACUUGUCUCUUUGCGAACUUGGGCUUCUUAGAAGUAGAUUUUGUCAACUAGCAGAUGUAGAGUUGACAAAGUUAAUCUCCAAUUUUGAGGUUUCUUUGCUUGUAAUAUGCCGAUAGAUGCAAUUUCUUUGCUGGUCUUAACACGAAGUCUUCAAUUCUUUCUUCUGGAUAAUAGCAAACGAGGUCAGCAGAUGUUGAGCCGGGCUUGAUGAUGUGACGACGACGAACGAUGGAACUCAGAGUCUCGGAGUGAG